RNAcentral lists this ribosomal RNA (694 nucleotides) under Rhodococcus sp. 92/s. RNAcentral's name for it is "bacterial SSU rRNA". It matches the Rfam family "Bacterial small subunit ribosomal RNA", at positions 67 to 785 of the family's 1533-position model. The record is from RNAcentral. Lineage: Bacteria; Bacillati; Actinomycetota; Actinomycetes; Mycobacteriales; Nocardiaceae.
CGGUAAGGCCCCUUCGGGGGUACACGAGUGGCGAACGGGUGAGUGUGAUCUGCCCUGCACUCUGGGAUAAGCCUGGGAAACUGGGUCUAAUACCGGAUAUGACCUUGGACUGCAUGGUUCUUGGUGGAAAGGUUUACUGGUGCAGGAUGGGCCCGCGGCCUAUCAGCUUGUUGGUGGGGUAAUGGCCUACCAAGGCGACGACGGGUAGCCGGCCUGAGAGGGCGACCGGCCACACUGGGACUGAGACACGGCCCAGACUCCUACGGGAGGCAGCAGUGGGGAAUAUUGCACAAUGGGCGAAAGCCUGAUGCAGCGACGCCGCGUGAGGGAUGAAGGCCUUCGGGUUGUAAACCUCUUUCAGCAGGGACGAAGCGAGAGUGACGGUACCUGCAGAAGAAGCACCGGCUAACUACGUGCCAGCAGCCGCGGUAAUACGUAGGGUGCGAGCGUUGUCCGGAAUUACUGGGCGUAAAGAGUUCGUAGGCGGUUUGUCACGUCGUUUGUGAAAACUCACAGCUCAACUGUGAGCCUGCAGGCGAUACGGGCAGACUUGAGUACUGCAGGGGAGACUGGAAUUCCUGGUGUAGCGGUGAAAUGCGCAGAUAUCAGGAGGAACACCGGUGGCGAAGGCGGGUCUCUGGGCAGUAACUGACGCUGAGGAACGAAAGCGUGGGUAGCAAACAGGAUUAGAUAC